CGGUAAGACGGAGGGUGCAAGCGUUGUUCGGAUUGACUGGGCGUAAAGGGCGUGAAGGCGGUUCGUUAAGUCGGGUGUGAAAGCCCGGGGCUCAGCUCCGGAAGCGCGUCCGAAACUGGCGAGCUGGAGCGCGGUAGAGGAGGGUGGAAUUCCUGGUGUAGCGGUGAAAUGCGUAGAUAUCAGGAGGAACACCGGCGGCGAAGGCGGCCCUCUGGACCGUUGCUGACGCUGAGACGCGAAAGCGUGGGGAGCAAACAGGAUUAGAUACCCUGGUAGUCCACGCUGUAAACUAUGGGUACUA
RNAcentral lists this ribosomal RNA (301 nucleotides) under uncultured Pseudomonadota bacterium. Its description in RNAcentral is "bacterial SSU rRNA". It matches the Rfam family "Bacterial small subunit ribosomal RNA", at positions 518 to 818 of the family's 1533-position model. Lineage: Bacteria; Pseudomonadati; Pseudomonadota. The record is from RNAcentral.